UGCCUGCGCCGCGCCCGCCCCGCGGGGAGGGCCGCGCACCUGCCCCGGGCACCGCGCCCGCCCGGCCCGGCCCGCGCUGCUGCCCCUGCUGCCGCUGCUGCCCCGCCCGGCCCCGGCCGCUCGGCUUUCUGCGGCCGCUGCUGGCUCCGAGGUUCUGCUGUGUACAUAUGAUUUUUAAUUUCAAGAUAUUUUUCUUCUUUCGUUUUGCCUCUGGAUAAACACCGCCAAAGAAGGAGGGGCAAGGAGAGAGAGCCAGGGAAAGAGUCAGGGGUUUGUUCACCACUAACAGUGGCAGCUUGGCUAACUGGAGCUGCAGCUGACUGUGCAAAGUCCUUCCACAGCUUCUCUGCUACACCCUGAGCAGCAGGGUGAGGCCGUAUUCUCAAGCAAGGUGAAGAAUUGGGAGAUGUGUAAAACAAAGUCAUUGCCCUUUGGUGAAGGGUGAGCGGCAUGGAAAGAAAAAAAAUAAGAAAACAUGAGCAAAGUAUGGAGAAACCCGAGGAGAGCAUCUCUGGAUUGCAACUGAAGGCUCCAUGGGCGUUUCAGGAACACAAGUUAUGCAUAUUUACCUGAAGAG
RNAcentral lists this long non-coding RNA (577 nucleotides) under Zonotrichia albicollis (white-throated sparrow). RNAcentral's name for it is "lncRNA (ENSZALG00000012983.1)". The record is from RNAcentral. Lineage: Eukaryota; Metazoa; Chordata; Aves; Passeriformes; Passerellidae.